GUCCAGACUCCUACGGAGGCAGCAGUGGGGAAUAUUGCACAAUGGGGGGAACCCUGAUGCAGCGACGCCGCGUGGGUGAAGGAGUAUUUCGGUAUGUAAAGCCCUAUCAGCAGGGAAGAACAAUGACGGUACCUGACUAAGAAGCACCGGCUAAAUACGUGCCAGCAGCCGCGGCAAUACGUAUGGUGCAAGCGUUAUCCGGAUUUAUUGGGUUUAAAGGGUGCGUAGGCGGCGCUUCAGGUCAGCGGUGAAAUACCGGGGCUCAACCCCGGGGCUGCCGUUGAAACCGGAGCGCUAGAAUUCCGAUGCCGUCGGAGGAAUGUGUGGUGUAGCGGUGAAAUGCAUAGAUAUCACACAGAACACCGAUUGCGAAGGCAUCUGACGAAUCGGAGAUUGACGCUGAUGCACGAAAGCGUGGGUAUCGAACAGGAUUAGAUACCCCGGUAU
This 447-nucleotide ribosomal RNA is filed under the name uncultured bacterium. RNAcentral's name for it is "bacterial SSU rRNA". It matches the Rfam family "Bacterial small subunit ribosomal RNA", at positions 329 to 793 of the family's 1533-position model. The record is from RNAcentral.